UGCAAGUCGAACGAGCUGGAGACUUCGGAUGGAUCAGCUUAGUGGCGGACGGGUGAGUAACGCGUGGGUACCUGCCUCACACUGGGGGAUAACAGUUAGAAAUAGCUGCUAAUACCGCAUAAGUCCGCAUGGAAAAAACUCCGGUGGUGUGAGAUGGACCCGCGUCUGAUUAGCCAGUUGGCGGGGUAACGGCCCACCAAAGCGACGAUCAGUAGCCGGCCUGAGAGGGUGAACGGCCACAUUGGGACUGAGACACGGCCCAGACUCCUACGGGAGGCAGCAGUGGGGGAUAUUGCACAAUGGGGGAAACCCUGAUGCAGCGACGCCGCGUGGAGGAAGAAGGUUUUCGGAUUGUAAACUCCUGUCGUUAGGGACGAUAAUGACGGUACCUAACAAGAAAGCACCGGCUAACUACGUGCCAGCAGCCGCGGUAAAACGUAGGGUGCAAGCGUUGUCCGGAAUUACUGGGUGUAAAGGGAGCGCAGGCGGGAAGACAAGUUGGAAGUGAAAACCAUGGGCUCAACCCAUGAAUGCUUUCAAAACUGUUUUUCUUGAGUAGUGCAGAGGUAGAUGGAAUUCCCGGUGUAGCAGUGGAAUGCGUAGAUAUCGGGAGGAACACCAGUGGCGAAGGCGGUCUACUGGGCACCAACUGACGCUGAGGCUCGAAAGCAUGGGUAGCAAACA
This 684-nucleotide ribosomal RNA is filed under the name uncultured bacterium. RNAcentral's name for it is "bacterial SSU rRNA". It matches the Rfam family "Bacterial small subunit ribosomal RNA", at positions 56 to 774 of the family's 1533-position model. The record is from RNAcentral.